UCGUUUAAAGCUUUAUUAGAAGCAUCUCAUUGUUAAUGAGAGGAUGGGGGCACCCCUGAACGAU
RNAcentral lists this transfer RNA (64 nucleotides) under Eurytemora affinis. RNAcentral describes it as "tRNA-Asn". The record is from RNAcentral. Lineage: Eukaryota; Metazoa; Arthropoda; Copepoda; Calanoida; Temoridae.